UACGUAGGGGUCGAGCGUUGUCCGGAUUUAUUGGGCGUAAAGAGCUCGUAGGCGGUUCGGUAAGUCGGGUGUGAAACCUCCAGGCUCAACCUGGAGACGCCACCCGAUACUGCUGUGACUCGAGUCCGGUAGGGGAGCGUGGAAUUCCUGGUGUAGCGGUGAAAUGCGCAGAUAUCAGGAGGAACACCAGCGGCGAAGGCGGCGCUCUGGGCCGGAACCGACGCUGAGGAGCGAAAGCGUGGGUAGCAAACAGA
RNAcentral lists this ribosomal RNA (254 nucleotides) under uncultured bacterium. Its description in RNAcentral is "partial 16S ribosomal RNA". It matches the Rfam family "Bacterial small subunit ribosomal RNA", at positions 524 to 776 of the family's 1533-position model. The record is from RNAcentral.